CAGUCGCCGCGGUAAUACGAAGGGUGCAAGCGUUAAUCGGAAUUACUGGGCGUAAAGUGUGCGUAGGCGGUGAGUUAAGUCUGCUGUGAAAUCCCCGGGCUCAACCUGGGAAUGGCAGUGGAUACUGGCUCGCUAGAGUGUGUCAGAGGAUGGUGGAAUUCCCGGUGUAGCGGUGAAAUGCGUAGAGAUCGGGAGGAACAUCAGUGGCGAAGGCGGCCAUCUGGGACAACACUGACGCUGAGGCACGAAAGCGUGGGGAGCAAACAGGAUUAGAGACCCCCGUAGUCCCUGUCUCUUAUAC
RNAcentral lists this ribosomal RNA (301 nucleotides) under uncultured bacterium. RNAcentral describes it as "partial 16S ribosomal RNA". It matches the Rfam family "Bacterial small subunit ribosomal RNA", at positions 509 to 807 of the family's 1533-position model. The record is from RNAcentral.